Molecule: ribosomal RNA, 468 nt
Filed under: uncultured bacterium
Lineage: Bacteria
Description: partial 16S ribosomal RNA
Rfam family: Bacterial small subunit ribosomal RNA
Source: RNAcentral
GACGAACGCUGGCGGCGUGCUUAACACAUGCAAGUCGAACGGAAAGGCCCUGCUUUUGUGGGGUGCUCGAGUGGCGAACGGGUGAGUAACACGUGAGUAACCUGCCCUUGACUUUGGGAUAACUUCAGGAAACUGGGGCUAAUACCGGAUAGGAGCUCCUGCUGCAUGGUGGGGGUUGGAAAGUUUCGGCGGUUGGGGAUGGACUCGCGGCUUAUCAGCUUGUUGGUGGGGUAGUGGCUUACCAAGGCUUUGACGGGUAGCCGGCCUGAGAGGGUGACCGGCCACAUGGGGACUGAGAUACGGCCCAGACUCCUACGGGAGGCAGCAGUGGGGAAUAUUGCACAAUGGGCGGAAGCCUGUUGCAGCAACGCCGCGUGCGGGAUGACGGCCUUCGGGUUGUAAACCGCUUUCGCCUGUGACGAAGCGUGAGUGACGGUAAUGGGUAAAGAAGCACCGGCUAACUACGUG